UAGCAUAUCAAUAAGCGGAGGAAAAGAAACCAACCGGGAUUGCCUCAGUAACGGCGAGUGAAGCGGCAAGAGCUCAAAUUUGAAAUCUGGCCCCUCCGGGGUCCGAGUUGUAAUUUGCAGAGGAUGCUUCGGGUGCGGCCCCUGUCUAAGUGCCCUGGAACGGGCCGUCAGAGAGGGUGAGAAUCCCGUCUUGGGCAGGGUGCCCGUGCCCGUGUGAAGCUCCUUCGACGAGUCGAGUUGUUUGGGAAUGCAGCUCAAAAUGGGUGGUAAAUUUCAUCUAAAGCUAAAUACCGGCCGGAGACCGAUAGCGCACAAGUAGAGUGAUCGAAAGAUGAAAAGCACUUUGAAAAGAGAGUUAAACAGCACGUGAAAUUGUUGAAAGGGAAGCGCUUGCAACCAGACUCGGCCUCGGGGUUCAGCCAGCAUUCGUGCUGGUGUACUUCCCCGGGGCCGGGCCAGCGUCGGUUUGGGCGGCCGGUCAAAGGCCCCAGGAAUGUAUCGUCCUCCGGGACGUCUUAUAGCCUGGGGUGCAAUGCGGCCAGCCUGGACCGAGGAACGCGCUUCGGCACGGACGCUGGCGUAAUGGUCGCAAACGACCCGUCUUGAAACACGGACCAAGGAGUCUAACAUCUACGCGAGUGUUCGGGUGUCAAACCCGUACGCGCAGUGAAAGCGAACGGAGGUGGGAGCCCCCCCGGGGCGCACCAUCGACCGAUCCUGAUGUCUUCGGAUGGAUUUGAGUACGAGCGUAGCUGUGGGGACCCGAAAGAUGGUGAACUAUGCCUGAAUAGGGUGAAGCCAGAGGAAACUCUGGUGGAGGCUCGCAGCGGUUCUGACGUGCAAAUCGAUCGUCAAAUUUGGGUAUAGGGGCGAAAGACUAAUCG
RNAcentral lists this ribosomal RNA (884 nucleotides) under Aspergillus sydowii. Its description in RNAcentral is "LSU rRNA". It matches the Rfam family "Eukaryotic large subunit ribosomal RNA", at positions 36 to 937 of the family's 3401-position model. The record is from RNAcentral. Lineage: Eukaryota; Fungi; Ascomycota; Eurotiomycetes; Eurotiales; Aspergillaceae.